This 1434-nucleotide ribosomal RNA is filed under the name uncultured bacterium. RNAcentral describes it as "bacterial SSU rRNA". It matches the Rfam family "Bacterial small subunit ribosomal RNA". The record is from RNAcentral.
AGAGUUUGAUCCUGGCUCAGGAUGAACGCCGGCGGUGUGCCUAAUACAUGCAAGUCGUACGCACUGGCCCAACUGAUUGAUGGUGCUUGCACCUGAUUGACGUUGGAUCACCAGUGAGUGGCGGACGGGUGAGUAACACGUAGGUAACCUGCCCCGGAGCGGGGGAUAACAUUUGGAAACAGAUGCUAAUACCGCAUAACAACAAAAGCCACAUGGCUUUUGUUUGAAAGAUGGCUUUGGCUAUCACUCUGGGAUGGACCUGCGGUGCAUUAGCUAGUUGGUAAGGUAACGGCUUACCAAGGCGAUGAUGCAUAGCCGAGUUGAGAGACUGAUCGGCCACAAUGGAACUGAGACACGGUCCAUACUCCUACGGGAGGCAGCAGUAGGGAAUCUUCCACAAUGGGCGCAAGCCUGAUGGAGCAACACCGCGUGAGUGAAGAAGGGUUUCGGCUCGUAAAGCUCUGUUGUUGGAGAAGAACGUGCGUGAGAGUAACUGUUCACGCAGUGACGGUAUCCAACCAGAAAGUCACGGCUAACUACGUGCCAGCAGCCGCGGUAAUACGUAGGUGGCAAGCGUUAUCCGGAUUUAUUGGGCGUAAAGCGAGCGCAGGCGGUUGCUUAGGUCUGAUGUGAAAGCCUUCGGCUUAACCGAAGAAGUGCAUCGGAAACCGGGCGACUUGAGUGCAGAAGAGGACAGUGGAACUCCAUGUGUAGCGGUGGAAUGCGUAGAUAUAUGGAAGAACACCAGUGGCGAAGGCGGCUGUCUGGUCUGCAACUGACGCUGAGGCUCGAAAGCAUGGGUAGCGAACAGGAUUAGAUACCCUGGUAGUCCAUGCCGUAAACGAUGAGUGCUAGGUGUUGGAGGGUUUCCGCCCUUCAGUGCCGGAGCUAACGCAUUAAGCACUCCGCCUGGGGAGUACGACCGCAAGGUUGAAACUCAAAGGAAUUGACGGGGGCCCGCACAAGCGGUGGAGCAUGUGGUUUAAUUCGAAGCUACGCGAAGAACCUUACCAGGUCUUGACAUCUUGCGCUAACCUUAGAGAUAAGGCGUUCCCUUCGGGGACGCAAUGACAGGUGGUGCAUGGUCGUCGUCAGCUCGUGUCGUGAGAUGUUGGGUUAAGUCCCGCAACGAGCGCAACCCUUGUCAUUAGUUGCCAUCAUUAAGUUGGGCACUCUAAUGAGACUGCCGGUGACAAACCGGAGGAAGGUGGGGAUGACGUCAAGUCAUCAUGCCCCUUAUGACCUGGGCUACACACGUGCUACAAUGGACGGUACAACGAGAAGCGAACCUGCGAAGGCAAGCGGAUCUCUUAAAGCUGUUCUCAGUUCGGACUGUAGGCUGCAACUCGCCUACACGAAGCUGGAAUCGCUAGUAAUCGCGGAUCAGCACGCCGCGGUGAAUACGUUCCCGGGCCUUGCACACACCGCCCGUCA